Molecule: ribosomal RNA, 519 nt
Filed under: uncultured bacterium
Lineage: Bacteria
Description: bacterial SSU rRNA
Rfam family: Bacterial small subunit ribosomal RNA
Source: RNAcentral
AGAGUUGAUCCUGGCUCAGAAUUGAACGCUGGCGGCAUGCUUUACACAUGCAAGUCGAACGGCAGCACGGGGGCAACCCUGGUGGCGAGUGGCGAACGGGUGAGUAAUACAUCGGAACGUAUCCUUGAGUGGGGGAUAACGCAGCGAAAGUUGUGCUAAUACCGCAUGAGCUCUGAGGAGGAAGUGGGGGACCGUAAGGCCUCACGCUGAAGGGGCGGCCGAUGUCCGAUUAGCUAGUUGGUGAGGUAAAGGCUCACCAAGGCUUCGAUCGGUAGCUGGUCUGAGAGGAUGAUCAGCCACACUGGGACUGAGACACGGCCCAGACUCCUACGGGAGGCAGCAGUGGGGAAUUUUGGACAAUGGGGGCAACCCUGAUCCAGCCAUGCCGCGUGAGUGAAGAAGGCCUUCGGGUUUGUAAAGCUCUUUCGUGAGGGAAGAAACGGCCAUAGUGAAUAGCUGUGGUUACUGACGGUACCUCAAGAAGUAAGCACCGGCUAACUACGUGCCAGCCGCCGCGGU